This 345-nucleotide ribosomal RNA is filed under the name uncultured fungus. RNAcentral's name for it is "SSU rRNA". It matches the Rfam family "Eukaryotic small subunit ribosomal RNA", at positions 20 to 370 of the family's 1831-position model. Lineage: Eukaryota; Fungi. The record is from RNAcentral.
GUAGUCAUAUGCUUGUCUCAAAGAUUAAGCCAUGCAUGUCUAAGUAUAAGCAAUUAUACCGUGAAACUGCGAAUGGCUCAUUAAAUCAGUUAUCGUUUAUUUGAUAGUACCUUACUACUUGGAUAACCGUGGUAAUUCUAGAGCUAAUACAUGCUGAAAACCCCAACUUCGGGAGGGGUGUAUUUAUUAGAUAAAAACCAAUGCCCUUCGGGGCUUCUUGGUGAUUCGUGAUAACUCUACGGAUCGCAUGGCCUUGCGCCGGCGACGGUUCAUUCAAAUUUCUGCCCUAUCAACUUUCGAUGGUAAGGUAUUGGCUUACCAUAGUUUCAACGGGUAACGGGGAAU